AGAGUUUGAUCCUGGCUCAGGACGAACGCUGGCGGCGUGCCUAAUACAUGCAAGUCGAGCGGACUUCAGGGAGCUUGCUCCCUGAUAUCAGCGGCGGACGGGUGAGUAACACGUGGGCAACCUGCCUGUAAGACUGGGAUAACUUCGGGAAACCGGAGCUAAUACCGGAUAAUCCUUUUCCUCUCAUGAGGGAAAGCUGAAAGACGGCGUAAGCUGUCACUUACAGAUGGGCCCGCGGCGCAUUAGCUAGUUGGUGAGGUAACGGCUCACCAAGGCUACGAUCGGUAGCCGGCCUGAGAGGGCACACGGCCACACUGGCACUGAAACACGGGCCAGACUCCUACGGGAGGCAGCAGUGGGGAAUCUUGCACAAUGGGGGCAACCCUGAUGCAGCGACGCCGCGUGAGCGAUGAAGCCCUUCGGGGUGUAAAGCUCUUUCGGCAGGGAAGAUGAUGACGGUACCUGCAGAAGCAGCUGCGGCUAACUACGUGCCAGCAGCCGCGGUAAUACGUAGGCAGCAAGCGUUGUUCGGAGUUACUGGGCGUAAAGGGUGUGUAGGCGGUUCUCUAAGUCUGGUGUGAAAUCUCCCGGCUCAACUGGGAGGGUGCGCCGAAAACUGGAGGGCUAGAGUGCGGGAUGGGAGAGUGGAAUUCCUGGUGUAGCGGUGAAAUGCGUAGAUAUCACGAGGAACACCAGUGGCGAAGGCGGCUCACUGGCCCGAUACUGACGCUGAGGCACGAAAGCGUGGGGAGCAAACAGGAUUAGAUACCCUGGUAGUCC
Molecule: ribosomal RNA, 780 nt
Filed under: uncultured bacterium
Lineage: Bacteria
Description: bacterial SSU rRNA
Rfam family: Bacterial small subunit ribosomal RNA
Source: RNAcentral